AACGAACGCUGGCGGCAUGCCUAACACAUGCAAGUCGAACGAGACCUUCGGGUCUAGUGGCGCACGGGUGCGUAACGCGUGGGAAUCUGCCCCUCGGUUCGGAAUAACACAGAGAAAUUUGUGCUAAUACCGGAUAAUGACUUCGGUCCAAAGAUUUAUCGCCGAGGGAUGAGCCCGCGUAAGAUUAGCUUGUUGGUGGGGUAAAUGGCCUACCAAGGCGACGAUCUUUAGCUGGUCUGAGAGGAUGAUCAGCCACACUGGGACUGAGACACGGCCCAGACUCCUACGGGAGGCAGCAGUGGGGAAUAUUGGACAAUGGGCGAAAGCCUGAUCCAGCAAUGCCGCGUGAGUGAUGAAGGCCUUAGGGUUGUAAAGCUCUUUUACCAGGGAUGAUAAUGACAGUACCUGGAGAAUAAGCUCCGGCUAACUCCGUGCCAGCAGCCGCGGUAAUGUCUGUACU
This 460-nucleotide ribosomal RNA is filed under the name uncultured bacterium. RNAcentral's name for it is "bacterial SSU rRNA". It matches the Rfam family "Bacterial small subunit ribosomal RNA", at positions 29 to 531 of the family's 1533-position model. The record is from RNAcentral.